GGGGGCGAUACGGCUUCGACGGGGGUAGUGAGGCCGGAACUGCGUGCCGAGGUCCCAGUGGCUCGUUAAACAAUUGGGAAAACAAAUCUAAUUGCAAACGAUUAUUCGUAUGCAAUGGCCGCCUAAUUAAAGGCGACCCGUUCUCACCGGCUUCGCUUGCCGGGCUGGAUGAGGGCGUCGAUGAAGGCAGGCUGGUCGUUCAGCCCUGCUCAAGGUUGAACGAUGAGAUCUUUUGAGCUGGCCCGCUCCGUAUCCUGCCUUUCGGAGACGGAGCAGGCGAGAUUUAAAAGAAAGGCUAUGCAUGUAGAGGUUCCUGUCGAGUUAUCUUCGGACACGGGUUCGACUCCCGUCGCCUCCA
This 358-nucleotide transfer-messenger RNA is filed under the name marine sediment metagenome. It matches the Rfam family "transfer-messenger RNA". From Rfam's summary of the family: Bacterial tmRNA, also known as 10Sa RNA or SsrA, is named for its dual tRNA and mRNA-like properties. Its role is to liberate the mRNA from a stalled ribosome. The record is from RNAcentral.